GGGGGCGUUACGGAUUCGACAGGUAUAGGUCGAGCUUGGAUUGCGUUUCGUAGGUUACGUCUACGUAAAAACGUUACAGUUAAAAUAACUGCUAAAAACAAUAAUAACUCUUACGCUUUAGCUGCGUAAUAACAGCUUAGUGUAGAUCCUCUCGGCAUCGCCCAUGUGCUCGAGCAAGGGUCCUAUAAUUAGUGGGAUACGCUAAACCUUUCCGUCUGCAAGGUUUAGAAGAGAUUAUCAGACUAGCGAAGCACGAUGCCGGUUGUGUGGCUGGUGCCCAGCGAAUCUUUAAAUAGCAUAACUAUAAACGUAGAUGUCUAGGUGCCGAUAUAUUUGGACGCGGGUUCGACUCCCGCCGUCUCCAUGA
Molecule: non-coding RNA, 367 nt
Organism: Carnobacterium sp.
Lineage: Bacteria; Bacillati; Bacillota; Bacilli; Lactobacillales; Carnobacteriaceae
Rfam family: transfer-messenger RNA
About the family: Bacterial tmRNA, also known as 10Sa RNA or SsrA, is named for its dual tRNA and mRNA-like properties.
Source: Rfam